GUGCUCAUUACAGCAGCCCGUAUGCUAAAAUUUGAACAGUACUGAGAUUAGCAUGGCUCCUGCAAAAGACACACAAGUUCACGAAGCAUUCUGUAUUUUUUUUUUUUU
This 108-nucleotide small nuclear RNA is filed under the name Mus pahari (shrew mouse). Lineage: Eukaryota; Metazoa; Chordata; Mammalia; Rodentia; Muridae. The record is from RNAcentral.